This 2124-nucleotide long non-coding RNA is filed under the name Sus scrofa (pig). Its description in RNAcentral is "lncRNA (ENSSSCG00055012002.1)". The record is from RNAcentral. Lineage: Eukaryota; Metazoa; Chordata; Mammalia; Artiodactyla; Suidae.
UUUUUUUUUUUUUUUACUGAGCAUACUUUGAAUUCUGAAGUCAUAAAAUUAAUUAAGGUUUUAGUUCUGGUCAGGAUGGAGGGAGCACAUUUGACCCUACCUCUCCCUCUGAAUGCAAGUAAAAAUCCUGAACAGAAUGCAUGCAGCAGUUGAUUGCCUGAUUUUUUAAAAAAAUUAACAUUCUCCAUGGAAUUUAAAGACUCAGAGUGAACAACAGCUAUAACUUUCCCUCUAAAAUCUAUUGUAGCUGCGUUACAUGCAUUUUGACAGGUGUUGACAUUCAGUUCGAAGUAUCUCUUAAAUUUCCUUUAGUAUUUUUAGCAGUUUGUUGAUGAUAUGGCUAGUGUGGACUUCUUUGAGUUUAUCUUAUUUCGGAUUUACUCGGUUUCUUAAAUCUGUAAGUUUAUGUCUUUUGUCACCUUUGGAGAGUUCUCAGUGAUGAUUCCUUCAAAUGUUUUUUUUCUGUCCCACACUCUUUUUCCUCUCCUGGGACUGUGAAGAUGUGAAUAUUAUAUCUCUUCAUGUUGUCACAGAGUCCCUUGAGCAGUCUUUAUGCUCUCUGUUGUUCAAAUUGGAUAAUUUAUCUUUUUUGAUUUUUCAAAAGUUUUUUGAAACGUAGCUAUGCUUACAACGUUGUGAUAAUUUCUGCUGUACAACAAAGGGAUUCAGUUACACAUACACACACAUCCAUUCUUUUUCAGAUUCUCUGCCCACAUAGAUGCUCACAGAAUGUGGGCUGGAGUUCUCUGUGCUGUACAGCAGGUCCCCAUUGGCCAGUCACUCCGUAGACCUCAGUGUGUAUCUUCCCGUCCCAAACCCCUAAUCCAUCCGUACCCCUAACCUGUCUUUGUUAGUAACCAUAAGUCUGUGAAUCUGUUUCCAUUUGUAAAUAAGCGUGUUUGUAUCAUUUUUUAAGAUUCCACAUACAGGUGCUCUCAUGUUAUAUUUGUCUCUCUGUCUGACUUACUUCACUUAGUACGAUAAUCUCUAGGUCUAUCCAUGUUGCUGCAAAUGGCAUUCUUUCUUUCUCUUUAUGGCUGGGUAAUAUUCCAUUGUACCGUAUCUUUAUCUAGUUCUCUGCUGAUGGACAGGCAGGUUGCUUCCAUGGCUUGGCUGUUGUAAAUAGUGCUGCCGUGAAAAUUGGGGUGCACGUAUCUUCAGGUUUUUUUUCUUUAGUUUUUUCUGGGGUGGGGCUGCGUCUGUGGCUUAUGGAAGUUCCUGGCUAGGGGUUGAAUCAGAGCUGCAGCUGCUGGCCUACACCACAGCCACAGCCACAUGGGAUCUGAGCUGCAUCCAAGCCUACACCACAGCUCAAGGCAAAGCCAGAUCCUUCACCCACUAAGCGACUAGUAUCCUCAUGGAUACUAGUCGGGUUUGUUACCGCUGAGCCACAGUGGGAUCGUCCAGAUUUUGUUCUUUGGAUAUGUGCCCAGGCAUGACUUGCUGGAGCACGCGGUAGUUAUCCUUUGUUUUUUCGAGGGACCUCCAUGCUGUUUUCCAUAGUAUUUGUACCAAUUUACGUUCCCAUCAACAGCGUAGGAGGGUUCCCUUUUCUCUAUAUAUACUCUCCAGCAUUUGUUAUUUGUAGACUUUUUUUUUUUUGAGCAGAGAAAAGUUUAUUGCAAGGCCAUGCAAGGAGAUGGCUGGCUUGUGUCCCACCCCUGCCCCCAUAUCCCAAAUUCCCUGAACCAGAAUUGCAAAGCACUUGAAAGGCAAGGUGAGGGAGGAGCGUGCUUGGUUGUUGCAAACUCCCUGGUGUAGAAAUCCUUUGUUCUUGCAGCUGUCCACAGAGGUCAGGUCCUGCUGUUCCUAUAAAUGUAGUUCAGCAGUAGGACUUAAAAGUUAUCAGAAACUGGAGUUCCCAUUGUGGCUCAGUGGUUAACAAAACCAACUAGGAACCAUGAGGUUGCAGGUUCGGUCCCUGACCUCACUCAGUGGGUUCAGGAUCCAGCGUUGGCGUGAGCUGUGGUGUAGGUUGCAGAUGUGGCUUGGAUCCCACAUUGCUGUGGCUCUGGUGUAGGCUGGCGGCUGUAGCUCUGAUUAGACCCCUAGCCUGGGAACCUCCAUGCCGUGGGUGCAGCCCUAAGAAGACCAAAAAAAACAAAAAAACAAAAAAACAAAAAA